Molecule: long non-coding RNA, 760 nt
Organism: Spinacia oleracea (spinach)
Lineage: Eukaryota; Viridiplantae; Streptophyta; Magnoliopsida; Caryophyllales; Amaranthaceae
Exons: 3
Source: RefSeq, a predicted model, not a curated record
CUUCCUCUCCCUAGAACUCUCCUUCCUCCCCCUAGAACUCUCCUUCCAUUUCAAACCCUAGAAUUCUAUCUCUUUGUUUCGUCCAAAUCGUUCAAUGGGAUUUCGAAAAAGAAGCUUUGAUCUGGUUCCUUCCAACUCCCCUCGUGCCAAAUUUCAACCCCGAUCUACAGAGAGAUAAAGAGAUGGCGGAUGAGAGAGAGGACGUCGAACUCGUACUUUUCUUGAAGUUCUACCUUCACUUCGUCAAUUGUGAUUGUUAUUGAAUAUUCAGAAGAAUGGAGUUCACGGAUGCUUAUAAGCAGACUGGGCCCUGCUGUUUUUCUCCCAAUGCUCGCUACAUUGCUGCUGCAGUUGAUUAUCGUCUGGUGAUUCGAGACGCUCGGUCAUUUAAGGUGCUAUAGUUGUCAAUUUGCUAUUUUUUUCAUUUUCUACUUACUAUUUCUAGACUUAUGUACUGGAAUGUUAGUUUCUCGUUCCCGCAAACUGUUUCUUUGGCUCUAUUCUAAGUUCUGAUCACUUUGUACUUCUUCAUUAAAGGUUAAACAAAUUGUAAGGAUAUUGAGAAGUUAGAACUUGGGAACGUUUAUGACUUUAUAAAGUAUCAUUUUUGUUACUGGUGCUUACUUGUAUGGGUGUAUAAUUACAGUCUUCCACUUAAUCUAUGUUAACAUUUGAGAAGAUAUGAAAAUAGAUUGGGUUACAAGACUCUCCCAUAAAUUAAGAGGAGAAUUUGGACCACGUACAAGCCUAAGUUCAUGCA